GACGAACGCUGGCGGCGUGCCUAAUACAUGCAAGUAGAACGCACAGUUUAUACCGUAGCUUGCUACACCAUAGACUGUGAGUUGCGAACGGGUGAGUAACGCGUAGGUAACCUGCCUGGUAGCGGGGGAUAACUAUUGGAACCGAUAGCUAAUACCGCAUAAUAUUAAUUAUUGCAUGUUAAUUGAUGGAAAGAUGCAACUGCAUCACUACCAGAUGGACCUGCGUUGUAUUAGCUAGUAGGUGAGGUAACGGCCCACCUAGGCGACGGUACAUAGCCGACCUGAGAGGGUGAUCGGCCACACUGGGACUGAGACACGGCCCAGACUCCUACGGGAGGCAGCAGUAGGGAAUCUUCGGCAAUGGACGAAAGUCUGACCGAGCAACGCCGCGUGAGUGAAGAAGGUUUUCGGAUCGUAAAGCUCUGUUGUAAGAGAAGAACGGGUGUGAGAGUGGAAAGUUCACACUGUGACGGUAUCUUACCAGAAAGGGACGGCUAACUACGUG
This 505-nucleotide ribosomal RNA is filed under the name uncultured bacterium. RNAcentral's name for it is "partial 16S ribosomal RNA". It matches the Rfam family "Bacterial small subunit ribosomal RNA", at positions 28 to 507 of the family's 1533-position model. The record is from RNAcentral.